AAGCUAACAGCCUCACUAAACAUUGUGUUGGUACAUUAUUUGUUUGAACUUUUGUUAAUGAAUGGGUGAAAGACGUUAAUUGCUAGCUAAAUAUGAAUAGAAUUUGCCCAGAGAAAAUAAUAAAGACUCCAGCAUCAAAGAGAAGCAGCAAAUUAUAGCAGCUAACAAAGAAGUGGCUAGGAGCAACAAAGAUGGCAGCCCUUAUCUGGCAUUGUGAGGGUAUACUUUUGGCCAUCUUUGUACCAGCUGACAACACCAUUUGGACGAGACAAUUCGCAGCUAAGAAUAAUUUCCUCAGGGACAUGACGGUCAAGGUGGACGUCCUCCUUGGGGUAGAUUAUCACCACCGGGGGUUCUGUGAAAGAAGAUUACAUGCACUUGAAACAUUGUCCAUUUCCAUCUUUGUACCAAUGGACAACACCAUCAGCCCUUGAUACUUCACAUGACAGAACAAGCUGUUCGUUUUCCACAACACUCUUGAAAAGGUCCUCCUCUGGGAUAUCAACAAAUGUUACCGGUGGCGCUGCAGAAAACGGUACACAAAAGAAGAGUUUCAACCCAUCCUUGUACCAGUCGACAUGAGCAGAAGGAUCAUCAGAAAGUUCACAGCUGAGGACAAUGGGAGAACCUUCUUGAACGGACUUGGUCCUGUCGCUCUCUUGAAGCUCUGAGAACUUCCCAGCAAACUGGAUGUCAUCAUCCUUUGACUCACAGCGGUAAACGCCAGUGUGAGAUCGCUCGGCUGAUGGGACAACUAGACUCCUCAAAUUUCCCUCUGACUGGAUGUCUACACCAUUUUCAGCAACCUCUGCAAUGCUUCUGCCCCCAUCGGGCAUCUCACAGAGGUAAAUCCCAUCAUCGUCAACUCCGAUGUCACGGAUAGUUAGUCGCCGUUUUGUUCCCCACUCCUCCAUUCCAUAUUUGGCCCCCGGCUGCAGUCGUCUAU
Etheostoma spectabile (orangethroat darter) is the source of this 946-nucleotide long non-coding RNA. RefSeq lists it as uncharacterized. Lineage: Eukaryota; Metazoa; Chordata; Actinopteri; Perciformes; Percidae. The transcript is spliced from 6 exons. The record is from RefSeq and is a predicted model, not a curated record.